GCACUGCCGAGGAGACCCGAAAAGGUCGAAACAGCUGUCCAGUGC
RNAcentral lists this non-coding RNA (45 nucleotides) under Echinostoma caproni. The record is from RNAcentral. Lineage: Eukaryota; Metazoa; Platyhelminthes; Trematoda; Plagiorchiida; Echinostomatidae.